CAUACAAAACGGUCACUAUAUAAAGGAUCAGGACGACAAUCGUUGUCGCCAGUCGUCGAGUAGUCGUCGCCAUGUCGUCCCGCGUGCUAUCACGAGUUCCUCACAUCGCUCUUUUACUGCCUGUCCUGCUGAUGUUGUUCGCCAGCGUCAGCGGACAGCUGGACUACGUCGGCGAGGUGUUCGGAGCUCUCAUCACCAACAAGAUCGAGCGCUGCGUCGACAAACUGAACGCUCUGGCUGCGCUGUUCGGAGGGAUGGGCGGCGCGGACGACACCACAGACACGUGAACCGACACUCCAUCGACUAGAUGGCGCUGUGCGACGUCAAUAACUCCAGCUGUUUAGUUUAAAUAUUUAUUGCUGUUUCUUCUUCUUCUUCUUUUAUUUUUGGCAUACGACCGUGUAAGCAAUAAGAAUUAAGCCUGUCAAAAUUAAUUUAUUACAAAAAGUUAAUUUAUCUUUACUGUUUUUUGUCAUUGGCAUGAAAUAAAUAUUUUAGAUUUA
Melitaea cinxia (Glanville fritillary) is the source of this 503-nucleotide long non-coding RNA. RefSeq lists it as uncharacterized. The record is from RefSeq and is a predicted model, not a curated record. NCBI's taxonomy places the organism in Eukaryota, Metazoa, Arthropoda, Insecta, Lepidoptera, Nymphalidae. The transcript has 4 exons.